UACAGAGGGUGCGAGCGUUAAUCGGAAUUACUGGGCGUAAAGCGUGCGUAGACGGUUUCGUAAGUCGGGUGUGAAAUCCCCGGGCUCAACCUGGGAAUUGCAUUCGAAACUGCGAGGCUAGGGUACGGAAGAGGGAAGCGGAAUUUCUGGUGUAGCGGUGAAAUGCGUAGAUAUCGGAAGGAACAUCAGUGGCGAAGGCGACUUCCUGGACCAAUACUGACGCUCAGGUGCGAAAGCGUGGGGAGCAAACAGG
This 253-nucleotide ribosomal RNA is filed under the name uncultured bacterium. Its description in RNAcentral is "partial 16S ribosomal RNA". It matches the Rfam family "Bacterial small subunit ribosomal RNA", at positions 524 to 776 of the family's 1533-position model. The record is from RNAcentral.